This 250-nucleotide ribosomal RNA is filed under the name uncultured prokaryote. Its description in RNAcentral is "partial 16S ribosomal RNA". It matches the Rfam family "Bacterial small subunit ribosomal RNA", at positions 524 to 773 of the family's 1533-position model. The record is from RNAcentral.
UACGGGGGAUGCAAGCGUUGUCCGGAAUCAUUGGGCGUAAAGAGUUCGUAGGUGGCAUGUUAAGUCUGGUGUUAAAUGCAGGGGCUCAACUUCUGUUCGGCACUGGAUACUGGCAAGCUUGAAUGCUGUAGAGGUAAAGGGAAUUCCUGGUGUAGCGGUGAAAUGCGUAGAUAUCAGGAGGAACAUCGGUGGCGAAAGCGCUUUACUGGGCAGUAAUUGACACUGAGGAACGAAAGCCAGGGUAGCAAAU